Molecule: ribosomal RNA, 492 nt
Filed under: uncultured bacterium
Lineage: Bacteria
Description: partial 16S ribosomal RNA
Rfam family: Bacterial small subunit ribosomal RNA
Source: RNAcentral
AGUGAACGCUGGCGGUAGGCCUAACACAUGCAAGUCGAACGGCAGCACAGUAAGAGCUUGCUCUUACGGGUGGCGAGUGGCGGACGGGUGAGGAAUACAUCGGAAUCUACUUUUUCGUGGGGGAUAACGUAGGGAAACUUACGCUAAUACCGCAUACGACCUACGGGUGAAAGCAGGGGAUCUUCGGACCUUGCGCGAUUGAAUGAGCCGAUGUCGGAUUAGCUAGUUGGCGGGGUAAAGGCCCACCAAGGCGACGAUCCGUAGCUGGUCUGAGGGGAUGAUCAGCCACACUGGAACUGAGACACGGUCCAGACUCCUACGGGAGGCAGCAGUGGGGAAUAUUGGACAAUGGGCGCAAGCCUGAUCCAGCCAUACCGCGUGGGUGAAGAAGGCCUUCGGGUUGUAAAGCCCUUUUGCUGGGAAAGAAAAGCAGCAGGUUAAUACCCCGCUGUUCUGACGGUACCCAAAGAAUAAGCACCGGCUAACUUCGUG